This 253-nucleotide ribosomal RNA is filed under the name uncultured bacterium. RNAcentral's name for it is "partial 16S ribosomal RNA". It matches the Rfam family "Bacterial small subunit ribosomal RNA", at positions 524 to 776 of the family's 1533-position model. The record is from RNAcentral.
UACGAAGGGGGCUAGCGUUGUUCGGAAUUACUGGGCGUAAAGCGCGUGUAGGUGGAAUGGCAAGCAAGAGGUGAAAUCCCAGAGCUCAACUUUGGAAUUGCCUUUUGAACUGCCAUUCUGGAGUAUUGGAGGGGAGUGCGGAAUUCCUAAUGUAGAGGUGAAAUUCGUAGAUAUUAGGAGGAACACCGGUGGCGAAGGCGGCACUCUGGACAAUUACUGACACUGAGUCGCGAAAGCGUGGGGAGCAUACAGG